UAAAGUCUGUUUAUGGGUUGGACAAUUGAAAUUGUGUCAGUUAAGAGUUAUUUAGCCACGAUAAUAGUUUUGCUACCUUUAUAUUUUCCCAUUGAAAAAGUUAAGAAUGAGAUGUUCUUGAGUAAAAAAAAUAAUUGAAACUGAAUACGGUGCAACAGUAUCCUUCUAGUAAGAGCAUUUUUAUUUUGACUUUCUUUGCAAUUUAUGGAAGGAUGUGUCUAUGGAUUGGCCGCUGGAAUAUGCAUGCAUUAUUAUUAACGUUUUCAAUCAGCCU
Molecule: long non-coding RNA, 274 nt
Filed under: Mytilus galloprovincialis (Mediterranean mussel)
Lineage: Eukaryota; Metazoa; Mollusca; Bivalvia; Mytilida; Mytilidae
Source: RNAcentral